Molecule: ribosomal RNA, 322 nt
Filed under: Neoplecostomus paranensis
Lineage: Eukaryota; Metazoa; Chordata; Actinopteri; Siluriformes; Loricariidae
Description: partial 12S ribosomal RNA
Rfam family: Bacterial small subunit ribosomal RNA
Source: RNAcentral
CAUCCGCCUGGGGACUACGAGCACAGCUUAAAACCCAAAGGACUUGGCGGUGCUUCAGACCCACCUAGAGGAGCCUGUUCUAGAACCGAUAACCCCCGUUAAACCUCACCACCUCUUGUCUUCCCCGCCUAUAUACCGCCGUCGUCAGCUUACCCUGUGAAGGCCCAACAGUAAGCAAAAUGGGUUUAACCCAAAACGUCAGGUCGAGGUGUAGCGCACGAGAUGGAAAGAAAUGGGCUACAUUUUCUGCCACAGAACACCACGAAAGGCACCCUGAAACAUGACGCCUGAAGGAGGAUUUAGUAGUAAAAAGCAAAUAGAG